This is a non-coding RNA of Acanthosepion pharaonis, 100 nucleotides long. The record is from the annotation of a GenBank genome assembly. Lineage: Eukaryota; Metazoa; Mollusca; Cephalopoda; Sepiida; Sepiidae.
CGUUGAAAGACCGGUUCGCGUCCGAUCACCGAAAUGAAGCAACGUUGAGUUUUGUCAUUACCUAAAUGGGUGACUGCUUGGGAAUAUCAGGUGCUGUAAG